AUGGCAAGUGCACCUGACCGCCUUCUUCAAGUAAUCAACUACACACCGGUGGGGGCAGCGACUACCAGAUAAUGUGCUAGUGACGGUCUAGCAAAGAAAGGGCGGCAACGAGAAGCAGAGAGGACUGAAGAGAAGGGGCACUCAGGCACCAAAAGAAGUAAUUCAUUUUGCCAAAUAAAUUGUAACUUGUCAUAUCACCCAUGCCUUCAUACUCCUCAUCCUUAUUAGCCUCAUCUUGUCAUCUAAAAUAAAAUACAAUCAAUAAAUAGGAAUAACAAAAGUACUGAAACAACAAGAAAAGGUACAGUUAUAUAACUAAACUUACAUACCUUGAGAUCUUAUAAUACCCCCUUCGUUCUCAUAAACUUACGCUGAGGCCUGGCCUUAGUGCACCUCGCGCCUCAAGCGUGCAUUUAAAACCCAGAGAUCAACAAAGAUAAAAAAUGGACACAGUUAUUUCUUGUAUAAACAUCAACUGUUAAGAUUAAAAAAAAUAACUCAUCCUCUUGUAUUU
This 514-nucleotide long non-coding RNA is filed under the name Helianthus annuus (common sunflower). RNAcentral's name for it is "sRNA HanXRQr2_Chr14g0626361". The record is from RNAcentral. Lineage: Eukaryota; Viridiplantae; Streptophyta; Magnoliopsida; Asterales; Asteraceae.